This 227-nucleotide long non-coding RNA is filed under the name Bos taurus (domestic cattle). Its description in RNAcentral is "long non-coding RNA NONBTAT017584". The record is from RNAcentral. Lineage: Eukaryota; Metazoa; Chordata; Mammalia; Artiodactyla; Bovidae.
GCUCUACUCUCCGCUUGCGUAUUUAUCCCAGGCAUUCCCACCGGGAGAAUAAUGGAGUCGGAAGUUCGAGCUGGAAACGGAAGUCUCUGGCAGGAAAGGGGAAAGUGACUAUAUCUGGACUAUAGAGUAUGGAGAUUCAAGGAAAUAAGUGGAGUGAACUUUUUCUGAUUAAGGUGUAUUGUAGGUCAGUGCUGAGGACUUACUCUAGAAGAUUUGUGAAACUGGAU